UCGUGUCGUGAGAUGUUGGGUUAAGUCCGCAACGAGCGCAACCCUUGCCUUUAGUUGCCAUCAUUCAGUUGGGCACUCUAAAGAGACUGCCGGUGUCAAACCGGAGGAAGGUGGGGAUGACGUCAAGUCCUCAUGGCCUUUAUGACCAGGGCUACACACGUACUACAAUGGCCGGUACAGAGUGACGCGAAGCCGCGAGGUGGAGCAAAUCGCAGAAAGCCGGCCUUAGUUCGGAUUGGAGUCUGAAACUCGACUCCAUGAAGGUGGAAUCGCUAGUAAUCGCGCAUCAGCAUGGCGCGGUGAAUACGUUCCCGGGCCUU
Molecule: ribosomal RNA, 320 nt
Filed under: uncultured Methylobacteriaceae bacterium
Lineage: Bacteria; Pseudomonadati; Pseudomonadota; Alphaproteobacteria; Hyphomicrobiales; Methylobacteriaceae
Description: bacterial SSU rRNA
Rfam family: Bacterial small subunit ribosomal RNA
Source: RNAcentral